UUGGUUGGCCUCGCAGUAGAUAUCCACCAGGCUUUUGGGAACAACUGACUUUAUUUUUGUAUAUUCCGGCACUGGUGGUGUGCAUUUGAAUCCAGUCUUUGUGCAGUUGGACGAGAAGGAGCAAAUGUAUCCUGCGACAUUAGCAUCUUUCGCUAGCUGCCCGCCACUUGUAAUCAACAGGUCGAGUGGACCUGCUUAUGCUUCCAUGACAGUUACCAUAGCCCCACCUGCUGGCUCGACCGGAACACGACAGCUCUUUCACUGAAGAAAUAUUUCAUUCAACUCAUGUCCAUGUUUCAUAGAGAGAUUGACCCUGAAGUGACACUAGAAUUAAACACUGUCAUGUCCGGGUAUGGCCCACUUUUCAUGCUGUUUUUUUUUUUAAGUCAAAUACACAAGCUAAUUAAAUGUAAAUCCAAUUUGGUUGGGUUGUUUUCCACUGCCACGCUUAUCAGUCAAGCUGUCAAAAAAAGUAAAAC
Molecule: long non-coding RNA, 479 nt
Organism: Dunckerocampus dactyliophorus (ringed pipefish)
Lineage: Eukaryota; Metazoa; Chordata; Actinopteri; Syngnathiformes; Syngnathidae
Exons: 3
Source: RefSeq, a predicted model, not a curated record